UUCGUUUUGCCUUGACGGCGCCGUUACCUACUUCUGGUGGUCGACGCCGCUUUGCCGUCAGAUCCACAAAUGAAGACGCAAAAUCAAAUGCAAAACCAGAUGAUGAGGAUGAUGUGAGCUUCUUGUUGAAACUGGGAGUUGGGUAGUACGGCAGCAUCCUUGUGCCGAAGAUAACACGCCCCAACAUCAUACAAGUCCUCAUUAUGAUAUCUACUCCUGUUAUUCUAGCUGUUUUACUUUUGAUCAAACAAAGUCAUGUUCAA
Molecule: long non-coding RNA, 263 nt
Filed under: Helianthus annuus (common sunflower)
Lineage: Eukaryota; Viridiplantae; Streptophyta; Magnoliopsida; Asterales; Asteraceae
Description: sRNA HanXRQr2_Chr11g0505351
Source: RNAcentral